Molecule: ribosomal RNA, 322 nt
Filed under: uncultured Tomentella
Lineage: Eukaryota; Fungi; Basidiomycota; Agaricomycetes; Thelephorales; Thelephoraceae
Description: eukaryotic LSU rRNA
Rfam family: Eukaryotic large subunit ribosomal RNA (bases 267-322)
Source: RNAcentral
CUUUGGCAUUCCGAAGGGGCAUACCUGUUUGAGUAUCAUGAACACCUCAACUCUUCGUGGUUUUCCAUGAUGAGCUUGGACUUUGGGGGGUCUUGCUGGCCUUGUGGUCAGCUCCUCUAAAAUGAAUCAGCUUGCCGGUGUUUGGUGGGCAUCACAGGUGUGAUAACUAUCUACGCUUGCGGUUUUCCACCAGGUAACCUUCAGCAGUGGAGGUUCGCUGGAGCUCACAGACGUCUCUCCUCAGUGAGGACAGCUCUUUGAAUGUUUGAUCUCAAACCAGGUAGGACUACCCGCUGAACUUAAGCAUAUCAAUAAGCGGAGG